UGGACCAUUGAUGGCAACUGGUGGCUUAGGUGAUUGUAUAUGCUGAUUGUAUAUGAAGAAUAGUAUGUAUCUGAAACUUUGAGGUCCAA
Molecule: small nucleolar RNA, 89 nt
Filed under: Piliocolobus tephrosceles (Ugandan red Colobus)
Lineage: Eukaryota; Metazoa; Chordata; Mammalia; Primates; Cercopithecidae
Description: Small nucleolar RNA SNORD113/SNORD114 family (ENSPTEG00000003236.1)
Rfam family: Small nucleolar RNA SNORD113/SNORD114 family
About the family: The imprinted human domain at 14q32 contains two clusters of tandemly repeated small nucleolar RNAs named 14q(I) and 14q(II) snoRNAs.
Source: Rfam by way of RNAcentral